GGGUUGUGAGGUUAAGCGACUAAGCGUACACGGUGGAUGCCCUGGCAGUCAGAGGCGAUGAAGGACGUGCUAAUCUGCGAUAAGCGUCGGUAAGGUGAUAUGAACCGUUAUAACCGGCGAUUUCCGAAUGGGGAAACCCAGUGUGAUUCGUCACACUAUCAUUAACUGAAUCCAUAGGUUAAUGAGGCGAACCGGGGGAACUGAAACAUCUAAGUACCCCGAGGAAAAGAAAUCAACCGAGAUUCCCCCAGUAGCGGCGAGCGAACGGGGAGCAGCCCAGAGCCUGAAUCAGUGUGUGUGUUAGUGGAAGCGUCUGGAAAGGCGCGCGAUACAGGGUGACAGCCCCGUACACAAAAAUGCACAUGCUGUGAGCUCGAUGAGUAGGGCGGGACACGUGGUAUCCUGUCUGAAUAUGGGGGGACCAUCCUCCAAGGCUAAAUACUCCUGACUGACCGAUAGUGAACCAGUACCGUGAGGGAAAGGCGAAAAGAACCCCGGCGAGGGGAGUGAAAAAGAACCUGAAACCGUGUACGUACAAGCAGUGGGAGCCUCUUUAUGGGGUGACUGCGUACCUUUUGUAUAAUGGGUCAGCGACUUAUAUUCUGUAGCAAGGUUAACCGAAUAGGGGAGCCGAAGGGAAACCGAGUCUUAACUGGGCGUUAAGUUGCAGGGUAUAGACCCGAAACCCGGUGAUCUAGCCAUGGGCAGGUUGAAGGUUGGGUAACACUAACUGGAGGACCGAACCGACUAAUGUUGAAAAAUUAGCGGAUGACUUGUGGCUGGGGGUGAAAGGCCAAUCAAACCGGGAGAUAGCUGGUUCUCCCCGAAAGCUAUUUAGGUAGCGCCUCGUGAAUUCAUCUCCGGGGGUAGAGCACUGUUUCGGCAAGGGGGUCAUCCCGACUUACCAACCCGAUGCAAACUACGAAUACCGGAGAAUGUUAUCACGGGAGACACACGGCGGGUGCUAACGUCCGUCGUGAAGAGGGAAACAACCCAGACCGCCAGCUAAGGUCCCAAAGUCAUGGUUAAGUGGGAAACGAUGUGGGAAGGCCCAGACAGCCAGGAUGUUGGCUUAGAAGCAGCCAUCAUUUAAAGAAAGCGUAAUAGCUCACUGGUCGAGUCGGCCUGCGCGGAAGAUGUAACGGGGCUAAACCAUGCACCGAAGCUGCGGCAGCGACGCUGAUGCGUUGUUGGGUAGGGGAGCGUUCUGUAAGCCUGCGAAGGUGUGCUGUGAGGCAUGCUGGAGGUAUCAGAAGUGCGAAUGCUGACAUAAGUAACGAUAAAGCGGGUGAAAAGCCCGCUCGCCGGAAGACCAAGGGUUCCUGUCCAACGUUAAUCGGGGCAGGGUGAGUCGACCCCUAAGGCGAGGCCGAAAGGCGUAGUCGAUGGGAAACAGGUUAAUAUUCCUGUACUUGGUGUUACUGCGAAGGGGGGACGGAGAAGGCUAUGUUGGCCGGGCGACGGUUGUCCCGGUUUAAGCGUGUAGGCUGGUUUUCCAGGCAAAUCCGGAAAAUCAAGGCUGAGGCGUGAUGACGAGGCACUACGGUGCUGAAGCAACAAAUGCCCUGCUUCCAGGAAAAGCCUCUAAGCAUCAGGUAACAUCAAAUCGUACCCCAAACCGACACAGGUGGUCAGGUAGAGAAUACCAAGGCGCUUGAGAGAACUCGGGUGAAGGAACUAGGCAAAAUGGUGCCGUAACUUCGGGAGAAGGCACGCUGAUAUGUAGGUGAAGUCCCUCGCGGAUGGAGCUGAAAUCAGUCGAAGAUACCAGCUGGCUGCAACUGUUUAUUAAAAACACAGCACUGUGCAAACACGAAAGUGGACGUAUACGGUGUGACGCCUGCCCGGUGCCGGAAGGUUAAUUGAUGGGGUUAGCGCAAGCGAAGCUCUUGAUCGAAGCCCCGGUAAACGGCGGCCGUAACUAUAACGGUCCUAAGGUAGCGAAAUUCCUUGUCGGGUAAGUUCCGACCUGCACGAAUGGCGUAAUGAUGGCCAGGCUGUCUCCACCCGAGACUCAGUGAAAUUGAACUCGCUGUGAAGAUGCAGUGUACCCGCGGCAAGACGGAAAGACCCCGUGAACCUUUACUAUAGCUUGACACUGAACAUUGAGCCUUGAUGUGUAGGAUAGGUGGGAGGCUUUGAAGUGUGGACGCCAGUCUGCAUGGAGCCGACCUUGAAAUACCACCCUUUAAUGUUUGAUGUUCUAACGUGGACCCGUAAUCCGGGUUGCGGACAGUGUCUGGUGGGUAGUUUGACUGGGGCGGUCUCCUCCUAAAGAGUAACGGAGGAGCACGAAGGUUGGCUAAUCCUGGUCGGACAUCAGGAGGUUAGUGCAAUGGCAUAAGCCAGCUUGACUGCGAGCGUGACGGCGCGAGCAGGUGCGAAAGCAGGUCAUAGUGAUCCGGUGGUUCUGAAUGGAAGGGCCAUCGCUCAACGGAUAAAAGGUACUCCGGGGAUAACAGGCUGAUACCGCCCAAGAGUUCAUAUCGACGGCGGUGUUUGGCACCUCGAUGUCGGCUCAUCACAUCCUGGGGCUGAAGUAGGUCCCAAGGGUAUGGCUGUUCGCCAUUUAAAGUGGUACGCGAGCUGGGUUUAGAACGUCGUGAGACAGUUCGGUCCCUAUCUGCCGUGGGCGCUGGAGAACUGAGGGGGGCUGCUCCUAGUACGAGAGGACCGGAGUGGACGCAUCACUGGUGUUCGGGUUGUCAUGCCAAUGGCACUGCCCGGUAGCUAAAUGCGGAAGAGAUAAGUGCUGAAAGCAUCUAAGCACGAAACUUGCCCCGAGAUGAGUUCUCCCUGACCCUUUAAGGGUCCUGAAGGAACGUUGAAGACGACGACGUUGAUAGGCCGGGUGUGUAAGCGCAGCGAUGCGUUGAGCUAACCGGUACUAAUGAACCGUGAGGCUUAACCUUACAACGCCGAAG
Molecule: ribosomal RNA, 2924 nt
Filed under: Escherichia coli
Lineage: Bacteria; Pseudomonadati; Pseudomonadota; Gammaproteobacteria; Enterobacterales; Enterobacteriaceae
Description: bacterial LSU rRNA
Rfam family: Bacterial large subunit ribosomal RNA
Source: RNAcentral